CGCGCAAGACUUGCAGUAAUUUGACGGCAGAUUGGCGGCAGAAACCGAGCAAACUCAGCGCGCAGACUCUACGCGUAGUUUGGCAGCAGGACCUGUGCGGUUUCUGCCGACAAUUUGCUCGCACGGCCUGUCAUACAGGUCCUGUCGACAAAACACGAGCCUAAUGAGGACACAGAUGGUUAUGGUUUUGAUGUGGAGAUCUGAUCGAAAUUGGCGUCAAUCUGCGCGCAUUCUGCUAGCAUUUUGCUUACUGGGAUAGUAAGAGAAUAUGACAACAGUGACGAUCGAGGUUUCUAUAAAAUAACAUAAGACAAACGUACGUUUCCUGUAAACUCUCAUAACAAAUCACAUGUCACAAUUAAUUCCGGUUUAAGCGAAAAGUCUAUAAUGGCAGCAAUAAGUGAUUUACGAAACCGUAUUGAUAAAUUACAAGGAAUGGUGACACAAAUUUAUAUUGCUACAUGCCAUCCUGCAGAAACAUUAGACAAUUCUAUCGGGAUUCCAACUCUACCGGUGAUUUCUAUGGAAGAUUUCUGCGUAUGGGAAGAUUUCAUAUUGGAGGAGGAGAAAAAAUUGAUUAUGAUUCGAGUUAAUAGAACAUUGCACGGAAAAUUUAAAAGGCUCUAUAUAUUGCAAUCUAUAUAAUGCGCAAACUUAUGACAAACAAAGUCGCAGUUAACUUCAAUUUGAAAGGAACAAACAGAGAAUGCAAGAUAUGAAAAUUGAAGGGAACAAACAGAGAAGCAAGAUAUGAAAAAAAAAUUUCAAAGCACAACAUCUUACAUUCUUGUUAUUGCUAUUGUGAAGAAACAUGCACAAGAAAGGAUAGAUAGAGGCCUUCAAUUCACAUAUAACAGAGAAAUUGCUGAUUUACAUAUUGCGAAUUGGUUAAAAGACGCAAAAAAGACGUCUCGAAAAUGAAGUACUUCAAUUACGGAAAAGCGGGCAACAAGACGAAUAAGAAGAAAAUGAAACUGCAUAAAAAACUUUAAUAGUUUGCUUGUAACAUUUUCUUUAAGGCUUUUGGUUAUUUCAUGCUUUUAAGUUCC
Molecule: long non-coding RNA, 1049 nt
Organism: Harpegnathos saltator (Jerdon's jumping ant)
Lineage: Eukaryota; Metazoa; Arthropoda; Insecta; Hymenoptera; Formicidae
Exons: 5
Source: RefSeq, a predicted model, not a curated record